RNAcentral lists this ribosomal RNA (483 nucleotides) under uncultured bacterium. RNAcentral describes it as "partial 16S ribosomal RNA". It matches the Rfam family "Bacterial small subunit ribosomal RNA", at positions 28 to 507 of the family's 1533-position model. The record is from RNAcentral.
GACGAACGCUGGCGGCGUGCUUAACACAUGCAAGUCGAACGCUGAAGCUCAGCUUUUGUUGGGUGGAUGAGUGGCGAACGGGUGAGUAACACGUGAGUAACCUGCCCCCUUCUUUGGGAUAACGCCAGGAAACGGGUGCUAAUACUGGAUAUUCACUGGUCUUCGCAUGGGGGUUGGUGGAAAGGGUUUUUCUGGGGGGGGAUGGGCUCGCGGCCUAUCAGCUUGGUGGUGGGGUGAUGGCCUACCAAGGCUUUGACGGGUAGCCGGGCUGAGAGGGUGACCGGGAACAUUGGGACUGAGAUACGGCCCAGACUCCUGCGGGAGGCAGCAGUGGGGAAUACAGCACAAUGGGCGCAAGACUGAUGCAGCGACGGCGCGUGAGGGAUGGAGGCCUUCGGGUUGUGAACCUCUUUCGCUCCUGGUUAAGCCGCAACAAUGGUUGUGGUGAGGGUAGUGGGUAAAGAAGCGCCGGCUAACUACGUG